UACGGAGGAUGCAAGCGUUAUCCGGAUUUAUUGGGUUUAAAGGGUGCGCAGGUGGUUUUAUAAGUCAGUGGUGAAAGUCUGGCGCUUAACGUUAGGAUUGCCAUUGAUACUGUAGGACUUGAGUAUGGAUGAGGUAGGUGGAAUGUGUAGUGUAGCGGUGAAAUGCAUAGAUAUUACACAGAACGCCGAUUGCGAAGGCAGCUUACUAAUCCAUGACUGACGCUGAGGCACGAAAGCGUGGGGAUCAAACAGG
RNAcentral lists this ribosomal RNA (253 nucleotides) under uncultured bacterium. RNAcentral describes it as "partial 16S ribosomal RNA". It matches the Rfam family "Bacterial small subunit ribosomal RNA", at positions 524 to 776 of the family's 1533-position model. The record is from RNAcentral.